Long non-coding RNA from Bos taurus (domestic cattle), 1457 nucleotides. NCBI's taxonomy places the organism in Eukaryota, Metazoa, Chordata, Mammalia, Artiodactyla, Bovidae. The record is from Ensembl.
GCUGAGAACUCAACCGUAACAAUAAUUAACUCACCUUUUUCUUAUCUCUAAUCACUUUUCCUUAUGUUCCCCAUGCCUCAGCUUGAUCCCAUAAAUAUCUAGGGUCCAUUAUCAUCGGGGAUGCGGAUUAGAGAUUUGUUCUUUCAUUUCCUCACUUGGCUGCUUUGUGAAUAAACAUGUUCUUUGCUGCAACAGUGUGUGGCUUGUUGGUUGUCAGAUCUCCCAGCUGGACACUGGAAAUAGCUUUUGAUGGUUUAGGGCCUCUUUCACUUGACCUCAGUUGCUGCUGGUAUGGAAUCCACAGAGGUGAACAGAUUUCCCCUUCCUAGUAAUACAACCACAGCAACAAAAGCAGUGAGUGAGGAGAAAGCAGAACUAACAUCUCUUCAAGAGGGCACCCCCUGGUUCAACAGACAUUAUUCAUUAUCUGAUGCUGUGAAGGGUAUUUAUAGACUAAGAAGGAUAUUGGCUCAUACUCUGGGGAAUUACAAACUGAAAGACACUGAAUGAUAAUUGUUGUUGUUAAUCUUGAGAUAGAAAAAGACACUUUGAGCCUGCCAGUGGUCUUCUGAACAAAACAUCACAGACUAUAUUCUUUUUCAUCCUGGCUUUUUGUAUGUAUUUCCUAGGUCCCUAAGAGGGAGAAUGGUGAAUUAGGAAUUGUGUUUGGAUUAGCUGCACAAAUAGAAAAGCAUAGUCCAUGACAGUUAAAAUCACAACAGAUUACAAAAUAUUUUUCAACUCAUGGUUCUGUAGUAGUGUUAGAAUGAGAAUUCAGUAUAACUGUCUGUCAAACCAUAAUGAGUUCAGCAGACAUCCUGAUGAUCUCAUAGGAAGGACAACUUGUCACUUGAAGUUGGUAGCAUACCGGAUGGAUGGAGCAUGGAAAUGGAAACUUCGUUUCUUCCUUCUGACAGGGCUUCUUUCUGGUACUUGGAUCAGCUAAAUGGGAUGAGACAGAAGUGCAAAGUUCAACUUACACACUUAAAGACCUUUGGAGAUUUUUGGUUACCACCUCAGGAUUUGCUGUAAAAUAACACAUUUUGUGCUUUUUUCCUUGUGUUGCAGAAAGUUCAGUCUUUAAUAGACAGGAGUUUCAAAUUCUCAUGUAAGAAUAAAACAUUGGCACAGAACAUACAGACAUUUUCAAAGAUUACCUUUCUAGUUUUUUAUUUGUUUAGCUGGUUAGUUGAUGUAUGAGUUUUGAUAUUUUGAAAUUUUGUUUUCUGUUGUUUUCAUUUCUGUUUUGCUUCUCUUUGCCAAAAUACCUCAUCAGACUUGUCUGUGUACUUUUCAACAAUUAUCAAAAUUCUUAUUCUCUCAGCUGAAAUAAUUGUAAAUAUUUCACUGCUGCUUUAAUAAUGCUCUUAAGGAAAGAGAUAGUCCUGUGUGAGUUGUUUUUUAAAAUGAGAUUUCAGCAUGAAAUAGGUAUAAUCAUGAGUCAUGUCCAAAUCUUC